Long non-coding RNA from Patiria miniata (bat star), 286 nucleotides. RefSeq lists it as uncharacterized. The transcript has 3 exons. The record is from RefSeq and is a predicted model, not a curated record. NCBI's taxonomy places the organism in Eukaryota, Metazoa, Echinodermata, Asteroidea, Valvatida, Asterinidae.
CGACUGUAAAUCUGGCGCUUUCUUCCGAGUGGCCGAAACCUGUUGCCUGUGUCACUUUCUUGUGUGUUUUUGGUCCAACGUAAUAACACCAAAAUGGAUGAGAAGCAGGGACCAACUUCUGAUGAUGUCCCAACUGGGGAGGUAACGUCAACCACAGUUACAGAGGGUGAUGUUGUCAAGAUGCCAACAGAUGUGGCCAUCACUAUGGAUGCUAUUCCCAAUGAAGAUGAGGAGGACAAAUCCAAAGGUCUUGACCCACAAGAUAACCAUUCCAUCAGCACCUCUG